RNAcentral lists this ribosomal RNA (253 nucleotides) under uncultured bacterium. RNAcentral's name for it is "partial 16S ribosomal RNA". It matches the Rfam family "Bacterial small subunit ribosomal RNA", at positions 524 to 776 of the family's 1533-position model. The record is from RNAcentral.
UACGUAGGGGGCAAGCGUUGUCCGGAAUUACUGGGCGUAAAGCGCGUGUAGGCUGCUCUGCAAGUCGGAUGUGAAAGCCCUGGGCUCAACCUAGGAAGUGCACUCGAAACUGCAGAGCUUGAGUCUCGGAGAGGAUCGCGGAAUUCUCGGUGUAGAGGUGAAAUUCGUAGAUAUCGAGAGGAACACCGGUGGCGAAGGCGGCGAUCUGGACGAUAACUGACGCUGAGACGCGAAAGCGUGGGGAGCAAACAGG